Non-coding RNA from Paramuricea clavata, 86 nucleotides. Lineage: Eukaryota; Metazoa; Cnidaria; Anthozoa; Malacalcyonacea; Plexauridae. The record is from the annotation of a GenBank genome assembly.
AAUUAUUACAAACGUUUAUAUCUCUCUCCCCCCCCCCCCAUUUAAAAAUGGGGAGGGGGAGGGAGAUAUAAACGUUUGUAAUAAUU